AACGAACGCUGGCGGCAUGCCUAACACAUGCGAGUCGAACGAGACCUUCGGGCCUAGUGGCGCACGGGUGCGUAACGCGUGGGAACCUGCCCUUAGGUUCGGAAUAACUCCCCGAAAGGGGUGCUAAUACCGGAUAAUGUCUUCGGACCAAAGAUUUAUCGCCUUUGGAUGGGCCCGCGUUGGAUUAGCUAGUUGGUAGGGUAAAAGCCUACCAAGGCGACGAUCCAUAGCUGGUCUGAGAGGAUGAUCAGCCACACUGGGACUGAGACACGGCCCAGACUCCUACGGGAGGGAGCAGUAGAGAAUAUUAGACGAUGGGCGAAAGCCUGAUCCAGCAAUGCCGCGUGAGUGAUGAAGGCCUUAGGGUUGUAAAUCUCUUUUACCCGAGAUGAUAAUGACAGUACCGGGAGAAUAAGCUCCGGCUAACUACGUG
This 433-nucleotide ribosomal RNA is filed under the name uncultured bacterium. Its description in RNAcentral is "partial 16S ribosomal RNA". It matches the Rfam family "Bacterial small subunit ribosomal RNA", at positions 29 to 507 of the family's 1533-position model. The record is from RNAcentral.